This 407-nucleotide ribosomal RNA is filed under the name uncultured bacterium. Its description in RNAcentral is "partial 16S ribosomal RNA". It matches the Rfam family "Bacterial small subunit ribosomal RNA", at positions 28 to 526 of the family's 1533-position model. The record is from RNAcentral.
GACGAACGCUGGCGGCGUGCCUAAUACAUGCAAGUAGGACGCAGUUGCGAACGGGUGAGUAACGCGUAGGUAACUACCUAUUAGAGGGGGAUAACUAUUGGAAACGAUAGCUAAUACCGCAUACUAGUAGAUGGACCUGCGUUGUAGUAACUAGUAGGUUGGGUAAUGGCCUAUCUUGGCAACGAUACAUAGCCGACCUGAGAUGGUGAGCGGCCACACUGGGACUGGGUCACGUCCCAGACUCCUACGGGAGGCAGCAGUAGGGAAUCUUCGGCAAUGGGGGGAACCCUGACCGAGCAACGCCGCGUGAGUGAAGAAGGUUUUCGGAUCGUAAAGCUCUGUUGUUAAGGAAGCGGUACUUAACCAGAAAGGGACGGCUAACUACGUGCCAGCCGCCGCGGUAAUUC